Molecule: ribosomal RNA, 1038 nt
Filed under: Triticum aestivum (bread wheat)
Lineage: Eukaryota; Viridiplantae; Streptophyta; Magnoliopsida; Poales; Poaceae
Description: partial small subunit ribosomal RNA
Source: RNAcentral
AUGCUGCUGCUGUUGGAGACGCCCUCGGGCUUUGCAAUUCUAUCUUUCGACGGGGCCCAGCUCUAUCUACCAGGCGCCAAGGAGAUUAUUUGGCUCAAACAAUUCAAAAAGUUCAAGGACAAGUCUAGCGCCAUUAGGUUCGAUACUGGUGUUUGCAGAAGGCUGUCUAAGUUCAUCAAGAGGUGGCGCCGUCCUGGGCAGAUGUUAGUUGUUGGGAAACCUGAGUAUAAAACAAUCAUAGAAGCGAGCAUGGGCAUACCUUGCGUUUUCGAUGAAACUGUGAUGGAGGUGAUGUGGGGCGUGAAGCAUAUCAUGCAUAGUCUGGUCAAUGAGCGCAUUGUUCUGUCAGCAUGUGCCUUGUAUGAUUGCGAUGAAAUCGAGAAGAAACAUGAUCGGUCCUUGAGACGUGCCGGUGAGCAACUUAAGGAUGUGUCUGGCAUCAACACCCAGGGCUGGAGCUUACUGGAACUUUCAACAGCUCUGAUGCUUAUAUGUUUUUCUGAAGAAGAAAUUCUAGUUGGUGAUCCGGAAGAGUUAUUUACAGCUGAGGAGCUGUGUAAGUUCCAGGAUGAUGCACACGAAUACGACGACAAGAUCUCAAAGUACCCAUGCCGAAGAAUCUACGAAGAACUAGUGUGUGCCUUUGAAGCUAGAGCAGCGAAUAGAAUACUUUUGACCUCCUUGGUUAAGGAGGCAAGUGCGCGUUUCUCUCCGGUACCCGAAGCUUGCAAAGUACAACCAUGGCAUAUAGCUAAGAAUAGCAUCAAUUCAUUCGAUCACCCACGGAGAAAAUUGGUAAUGCCGGCCCCUGCUAUUGAGCAAGUUUGUAGAACAAAGAAGACCGUGCAGCCCUCGAGAUGGGUGCGGAUGCUUUCCAACGUGAAGCUCUUGCCUCACAUGCUCACGGCUUUCAUGAAGCGGGAGCUCGGGUCCUGCAGAUUGCUGCGGGAGAUCAUGACGAAGGUACAUCGCUGGAGGAAGAUGAAGCUGUUGACAUGCAGGAAGAUUGAGAAGACUGUUGGUGGUACAGCUUGCUAA